RNAcentral lists this ribosomal RNA (548 nucleotides) under Hansenula anomala. RNAcentral's name for it is "eukaryotic LSU rRNA". It matches the Rfam family "Eukaryotic large subunit ribosomal RNA", at positions 89 to 650 of the family's 3401-position model. The record is from RNAcentral. Lineage: Eukaryota; Fungi; Ascomycota; Saccharomycetes; Phaffomycetales; Wickerhamomycetaceae.
GCGAGUGAAGCGGCAAAAGCUCAAAUUUGAAAUCUAGCACCUUCGGUGUUUGAGUUGUAAUUUGAAGAUGGUAACCUUGGGUUUGGCUCUUGUCUAUGUUCCUUGGAACAGGACGUCAUAGAGGGUGAGAAUCCCGUCUGAUGAGAUGCCCAUUCCUAUGUAAGGUGCUAUCGAAGAGUCGAGUUGUUUGGGAAUGCAGCUCUAAGUGGGUGGUAAAUUCCAUCUAAAGCUAAAUAUUGGCGAGAGACCGAUAGCGAACAAGUACAGUGAUGGAAAGAUGAAAAGAACUUUGAAAAGAGAGUGAAAAAGUACGUGAAAUUGUUGAAAGGGAAGGGCAUUAGAUCAGACUUGGUGUUUUACGAUUAUCUUCUCUUCUUGAGUUGUGCACUCGUAUUUCACUGGGCCAGCAUCGAUUCGGAUGGCAAGAUAAUGGCAGUUGAAUGUGGCUUCACUUCGGUGGAGUGUUAUAGCUUCUGCUGAUAUUGCCUGUCUGGAUCGAGGGCUGCGUCUUUUGACUAGGAUGCUGGCGUAAUGAUCUAAUGCCGCCC